Molecule: ribosomal RNA, 253 nt
Filed under: uncultured bacterium
Lineage: Bacteria
Description: partial 16S ribosomal RNA
Rfam family: Bacterial small subunit ribosomal RNA
Source: RNAcentral
UACGUAGGGUGCAAGCGUUGUCCGGAAUUAUUGGGCGUAAAGAGCUCGUAGGCGGUUUGUCGCGUCUGGUGUGAAAAUCCAGGGCUUAACCCUGGACCUGCAUCGGGUACGGGCAGACUAGAGUGCGGUAGGGGAGAUCGGAAUUCCUGGUGUAGCGGUGGAAUGCGCAGAUAUCAGGAGGAACACCGGUGGCGAAGGCGGGUCUCUGGGCAGUAACUGACGCUGAGGAGCGAAAGCGUGGGGAGCGAACAGG